UUUUGUUGCCUUAGAAAAUUAUUAGCUUCCUCUUCUCAAAUUCUAGUUCUUAAUACAUUAUUUUCUUCUCUAAGUUUCUGGAUCUCUUUUUUCAUUUGAGUGAUCUUUCAUAAUAUUCUUGAUUAUUUUUUUUUACUCUUUUUUUCUACUUUCUUCUCCUCUAUCAUUUUGUUUUUGAGAUAUUUUUAAACCUCUUCCAAAAACUCCUUUUGAGCUUGUGGCAAUUAAUUUGUAUAUCCUUACUGUUUUUGAAGUAGGUAUUUUUAGUUCACUAUCUUCUGAGUUUGAGAAGAGAUCUGCUUUUUCUCCGUGAUAGCUAUUAAUGCUUGCAUUCUUUCUCCUUUGCUUGCUCAUUACUUAUUUACUUAUUUCUUUCUUUGCUUAUAUAUUUAUUUUUGUUUUAGUGGUCAAACCAGUAGUUUUAGUUAUUGGCUUUUUUUCCCUUAAGUCUCAGAGUUCCUAUUAUCUCGAGUUUUAGAAUUUGUGAGUCUCUUUGUUUUUUUUUCCUAGGUCCUAUUUACUUAUUUCAGGUUUUAUAGCCAAAGUCAGAUGUGCUCCUGGUCCCCUUCUCAACAAGCCCCAGUUAGUGAUUGACCUCUGGUGCUUCAACCAAAUACCACAAGCAGUUCUGCUACUGCAAUGGCAAACAGCCAGUCCACCUCCCACUGUGUCAACAACCAGGGACUCUCCUCUCCUGGGAGUGACCACAGCUAUUGGAGGCCAAGGCCCUCAGCCAACAAGCUCACUGCUUCUUCUUCAUUCCUCCUCUCUCACUGCAGGCCUCCAAAGUCCCUCCUAGGUUAGUAAUAAGUCUUGAAUUCCUGUCCUUAGGACCUGGUACCCACCAACUCUAAGGUGGUGGUGUAACUCCUUAAAUCCCAAGCCUUGGGCCAGCCAAGGCCUCCUGAGCAAAGGCUGCAGCAAGCAGAGCUACCCGCAGGGCCCUCUCUGGGUUAAGGGCUUUCCAAGCUCAACAAACAAGGGAUACUGGUUCUCGUGGUUAUCUCGCCUGAAAUUUGGGAGGAGAAAUUCAUCUCUCUACAACCCCUUGCCAUUUGGGCCUGCCCAGUUUCUAAAAUACAUCCAAUUUGGGAUUUCUCCACACUAUGUUCAUCGAGGAAUUCUCCCUCACUAUGGGAGAUCCAAGAGGUGUGACAAAAAAGGAACCUAAAUGGAUAGGGAAGGAACUUUAAGGAGUUUGG
Molecule: long non-coding RNA, 1202 nt
Organism: Monodelphis domestica (gray short-tailed opossum)
Lineage: Eukaryota; Metazoa; Chordata; Mammalia; Didelphimorphia; Didelphidae
Source: Ensembl